UCCCUGGUGGUCCAGUGGCUAAGACCCCAAGCUACCAAUGCAGGGGGCGCAGGUUCAACCCCUGCUCAGGGAA
RNAcentral lists this transfer RNA (73 nucleotides) under Ovis aries (sheep). It matches the Rfam family "tRNA". Rfam says of the family: Transfer RNA (tRNA) molecules are approximately 80 nucleotides in length. Lineage: Eukaryota; Metazoa; Chordata; Mammalia; Artiodactyla; Bovidae. The record is from Rfam by way of RNAcentral.